AUUGAACGCUGGCGGUAGGCUUAACACAUGCAAGUCGAGCGGGGUGAUGGUGCUUGCACUAUCACUUAGCGGCGGACGGGUGAGUAAUGCUUAGGAAUCUGCCUAUUAGUGGGGGACAACAUCUCGAAAGGGAUGCUAAUACCGCAUACGUCCUACGGGAGAAAGCAGGGGAUCACUUGUGACCUUGCGCUAAUAGAUGAGCUGAAGUCGGAUUAGCUAGUUGGUGGGGUAAAGGCCUACCAAGGCGACGAUCUGUAGCGGGUCUGAGAGGAUGAUCCGCCACACUGGGACUGAGACACGGCCCAGACUCCUACGGGAGGCAGCAGUGGGGAAUAUUGGACAAUGGGGGGAACCCUGAUCCAGCCAUGCCGCGUGUGUGAAGAAGGCCUUAUGGUUGUAAAGCACUUUAAGCGAGGAGGAGGCUCUUUUGGUUAAUACCCAAGAUGAGUGGACGUUACUCGCAGAAUAAGCACCGGCUAACUCUGUGCCAGCCGCCGCCGUAA
This 503-nucleotide ribosomal RNA is filed under the name uncultured bacterium. Its description in RNAcentral is "partial 16S ribosomal RNA". It matches the Rfam family "Bacterial small subunit ribosomal RNA", at positions 30 to 523 of the family's 1533-position model. The record is from RNAcentral.